RNAcentral lists this ribosomal RNA (1455 nucleotides) under uncultured haloarchaeon. RNAcentral's name for it is "bacterial SSU rRNA". It matches the Rfam family "Archaeal small subunit ribosomal RNA". Lineage: Archaea; Methanobacteriati; Methanobacteriota; Halobacteria; Halobacteriales; Halobacteriaceae. The record is from RNAcentral.
UUUGAUCCUGCCGGAGGCCAUUGCUAUCGGGGUCCGAUUUAGCCAUGCUAGUUGUGCGGGUUCAGACCCGCAGCGGAAAGCUCAGUAACACGUGGCCAAACUACCCUGUGGAUGGGAACAAUCUCGGGAAACUGAGGCUAAUUCCCAAUAAGGCUCGACCCCUGGAAUGGGUCGAGCUGGAAACGCUACGGCGCCACAGGAUGUGGCUGCGGCCGAUUAGGUAGACGGUGGGGUAACGGCCCACCGUGCCCAUAAUCGGUACGGGUUGUGAGAGCAAGAGCCCGGAGACGGUAUCUGAGACAAGAUACCGGGCCCUACGGGGCGCAGCAGGCGCGAAACCUUUACACUGUACGCAAGUGCGAUAAGGGGACUCCGAGUGUGAAGGCAUAGAGCCUUCACUUUUGUACACCGUAAGGUGGUGUACGAAUAAGGGCUGGGCAAGACCGGUGCCAGCCGCCGCGGUAAUACCGGCAGCCCGAGUGAUGGCCGAUAUUAUUGGGCCUAAAGCGUCCGUAGCUGGCCGGACAAGUCCGUUGGGAAAUCUGCUCGCUUAACGAGCAGGCGUCCAGCGGAAACUGUUCGGCUUGGGACCGGAAGACCUGAGGGGUACGUCCGGGGUAGGAGUGAAAUCCUGUAAUCCUGGACGGACCACCGGUGGCGAAAGCGCCUCAGGAGGACGGAUCCGACAGUGAGGGACGAAAGCUAGGGUCUCGAACCGGAUUAGAUACCCGGGUAGUCCUAGCUGUAAACGAUGCCCGCUAGGUGUGGCGCAGGCUACGAGCCUGCGCUGUGCCGUAGGGAAGCCGAGAAGCGGGCCGCCUGGGAAGUACGUCUGCAAGGAUGAAACUUAAAGGAAUUGGCGGGGGAGCACUACAACCGGAGGAGCCUGCGGUUUAAUUGGACUCAACGCCGGACAUCUCACCAGCAUCGACUGUGGUAAUGACGGUCAGGUUGAUGACCUUACCCGAGCCACAGAGAGGAGGUGCAUGGCCGCUGUCAGCUCGUACCGUGAGGCGUCCUGUUAAGUCAGGCAACGAGCGAGACCCGCAUCCUUACUUGCCAGCAGCACCGCGAGGUGGCUGGGGACAGUAGGGAGACCGCCGUGGCUAACACGGAGGAAGGAACGGGCAACGGUAGGUCAGUAUGCCCCGAAUAUGCUGGGCAACACGCGGGCUACAAUGGCCGAGACAAUGGGUUCCAACGCCGAGAGGCGACGGUAAUCUCAGAAACUCGGUCGUAGUUCGGAUUGUGGACUGAAACUCGUCCACAUGAAGCUGGAUUCGGUAGUAAUCGCGUGUCAGAAGCGCGCGGUGAAUACGUCCCUGCUCCUUGCACACACCGCCCGUCAAAGCACCCGAGUGAGGUCCGGAUGAGGCUCCCGAGAGGGAGUCGAAUCUGGGCUUCGCAAGGGGGCUUAAGUCGUAACAAGGUAGCCGUAGGGGAAUCUGCGGCUGG